CUUGUGUUUCAGGGAGGAAGACUGAAGGGACAUGGCGGCAAUCAACCUUAAUUUAUUUAGGUAUCGUGAACGCUCAUGUUCAAGCAAGAUCGCAAAAUAAUUAAUUA
Molecule: long non-coding RNA, 107 nt
Organism: Sebastes umbrosus (honeycomb rockfish)
Lineage: Eukaryota; Metazoa; Chordata; Actinopteri; Perciformes; Sebastidae
Exons: 3
Source: RefSeq, a predicted model, not a curated record